This 569-nucleotide ribosomal RNA is filed under the name uncultured bacterium. Its description in RNAcentral is "bacterial SSU rRNA". It matches the Rfam family "Bacterial small subunit ribosomal RNA", at positions 338 to 916 of the family's 1533-position model. The record is from RNAcentral.
CCUACGGGAGGCAGCAGUGGGGAAUAUUGCACAAUGGGCGCAAGCCUGAUGCAGCGACGCCGCGUGAGGGAUGACGGCCUUCGGGUUGUAAACCUCUUUCAGUAGGGAAGAAGCGAAAGUGACGGUACCUGCAGAAGAAGCGCCGGCUAACUACGUGCCAGCAGCCGCGGUAAUACGUAGGGCGCAAGCGUUAUCCGGAAUUAUUGGGCGUAAAGAGCUCGUAGGCGGUUUGUCGCGUCUGCCGUGAAAGUCCGGGGCUCAACUCCGGAUCUGCGGUGGGUACGGGCAGACUAGAGUGAUGUAGGGGAGACUGGAAUUCCUGGUGUAGCGGUGAAAUGCGCAGAUAUCAGGAGGAACACCGAUGGCGAAGGCAGGUCUCUGGGCAUUAACUGACGCUGAGGAGCGAAAGCAUGGGGAGCGAACAGGAUUAGAUACCCUGGUAGUCCAUGCCGUAAACGUUGGGCACUAGGUGUGGGGGACAUUCCACGUUUUCCGCGCCGUAGCUAACGCAUUAAGUGCCCCGCCUGGGGAGUACGGCCGCAAGGCUAAAACGUCAAAGGAAUUGACGG